UGGGGAAUCUUGCGCAAUGGCCGAAAGGCUGACGCAGCGACGCCGCGUGCGGGAUGAAGCUUUUCGGAGUGUAAACCGCUGUCGGGUGGGACGAAGGUCCCGGGGAGGAAAUGCCCUGGGGAUGACGGUACCACCAAAGGAAGCACCGGCUAACUUCGUGCCAGCAGCCGCGGUAAUACGAAGGGUGCGAGCGUUGUUCGGAAUUAUUGGGCGUAAAGCGCACGUAGGCGGCCUUGUAAGUCUCACUGUGAAAGUCCGGGGCUCAACCCCGGGAUUGCAGGGGAUACUGCGAGGCUUGAGACAAGUAGAGGUUGGUAGAAUUCCGGGUGUAGCGGUGGAAUGCGUAGAGAUCCGGAGGAAUACCAGAGGCGAAGGCGGCCAACUGGGCUUGUUCUGACGCUGAGGUGCGAAAGCGUGGGGAGCGAACAG
This 429-nucleotide ribosomal RNA is filed under the name uncultured bacterium. RNAcentral describes it as "bacterial SSU rRNA". It matches the Rfam family "Bacterial small subunit ribosomal RNA", at positions 355 to 775 of the family's 1533-position model. The record is from RNAcentral.